UAAGACGAACCGUGCGAACGUUGUUCGGAAUCGCUGGGCUUAAAGGGCGCGUAGGCGGGCACUAAAGUCAGGGGUGAAAUCCCUUAGCUUAACUGAGGAACUGCCUUUGAUACUGAAUGCCUCGAGUAAGGUAGGGGCAUGCGGAACUGAUGGUGGAGCGGUGAAAUGUGUUGAUAUCAUCAGGAACUCCGGUGGCGAAGGCGGCAUGCUGGACCUUCACUGACGCUGAGGCGCGAAAGCCAGGGGAGCGAACG
Molecule: ribosomal RNA, 254 nt
Filed under: uncultured prokaryote
Description: partial 16S ribosomal RNA
Rfam family: Bacterial small subunit ribosomal RNA
Source: RNAcentral